GGGGCUGUAGCUCAGCUGGGAGAGCAGCGCCUUUGCAAGGCGAAGGUCGAGGGUUCGAGUCCCUUCAGCUCCACCACGU
This 79-nucleotide transfer RNA is filed under the name Symbiobacterium thermophilum IAM 14863. Its description in RNAcentral is "tRNA-Ala". It matches the Rfam family "tRNA". Rfam says of the family: Transfer RNA (tRNA) molecules are approximately 80 nucleotides in length. The record is from RNAcentral. Lineage: Bacteria; Bacillati; Bacillota; Clostridia; Eubacteriales; Symbiobacteriaceae.